AGGACGAACGCUGGCGGCGUGCUUAACACAUGCAAGUCGAGCGAGGCCCUUCCUUCGGGAAGGUGCCCUAGCGGCGAACGGGUGAGUAACACGUGGGCAACCUGCCCCUAGCACUGGGAUAACUCCGGGAAACCGGGGCUAAUACCGGAUAUGACCUUUGAAGGCAUCUUCGAAGGUGUAAAGGAUUCUGGCUAGGGAUGGGCCCGCGGCCUAUCAGCUUGUUGGUGGGGUAAUGGCCUACCAAGGCGACGACGGGUAGCCGGCCUGAGAGGGCGACCGGCCACACUGGGACUGAGACACGGCCCAGACUCCUACGGGAGGCAGCAGUGGGGAAUAUUGCACAAUGGGCGAAAGCCUGAUGCAGCGACGCCGCGUGAGGGACGACUGCCUUCGGGUUGUAAACCUCUUUCAGCUCCGACGAAGCGAAAGUGACGGUAGGAGCAGAAGAAGCACCGGCCAACUACGUGCCAGCAGCCGC
This 478-nucleotide ribosomal RNA is filed under the name uncultured bacterium. Its description in RNAcentral is "SSU rRNA". It matches the Rfam family "Bacterial small subunit ribosomal RNA", at positions 26 to 518 of the family's 1533-position model. The record is from RNAcentral.